RNAcentral lists this ribosomal RNA (169 nucleotides) under Apogon semiornatus (oblique-banded cardinalfish). Its description in RNAcentral is "partial 12S ribosomal RNA". The record is from RNAcentral. Lineage: Eukaryota; Metazoa; Chordata; Actinopteri; Kurtiformes; Apogonidae.
CACCGCGGUUAUACGGGAGGCCCAAGCUGACAGUCACCGGCGUAAAGAGUGGUUAAUUAACCCUAAAAACUAAAGUCGAACGUCUUCAAGGUUGUUUAACACAUUCGGAGGCAUGAAGCUCAAUCACGAAAGUGGCUUUACACUCUUUGAACCCACGAAAGCUAGGGAA